GACGAACGCUGGCGGCGUGCUUAACACAUGCAAGUCGAGCGGUAAGGCCCUUUCGGGGGUACACGAGCGGCGAACGGGUGAGUAACACGUGGGUGACCUGCCCUCAGCUCUGGGAUAAGCCCGGGAAACUGGGUCUAAUACUGGAUAUGACUCCAUGACGCAUGUUGUGGGGUGGAAAGCCUUGUGCGGCUGAGGAUGGGCCCGCGGCCUAUCAGCUUGUUGGUGGGGGGAU
RNAcentral lists this ribosomal RNA (232 nucleotides) under uncultured bacterium. RNAcentral's name for it is "partial 16S ribosomal RNA". It matches the Rfam family "Bacterial small subunit ribosomal RNA", at positions 28 to 261 of the family's 1533-position model. The record is from RNAcentral.